ACUCCUUUGGGCCUCAUCGCUAACCACAGUUCCAUCGACGGCCUGGCGGUUGAGAACAUCACCUUCACCUUCAGCUCCACUCUCAUGACCGGAGGAUGCAGGGUGUCCGGCCAGUCCACCUCUCUGGGAUUCACCAGCCUUCUGGACAACGGCCUCAACUAUUGCAACCUGUACGAUCUGCUCUCAGCUAGCGGACUGGCCAGCGGACCUGGAUUCAUGGAGAUGACCAACGAGUGGGCUUGCCUGGGUUACGGACUUGCCACAUGCAAAGCUUGAAAGAAAAGAAAAAAAGAAAAAGAAAGCAACAAAAAACUUAUACUGUCUUUUAAGCAUUCAAAUGGUCUCCUGUGCAUCUUAUAGUUGACGUUUGCCGAUUCUUGAUCGAAACGCUCUGUCGCGAUCUUGUGUCAGAAAGAGUUUUCCAUCAUAAAUAUGUUUGUGCAUUUAAGGUGUCUGGACUGCUCCUUGAGCACUUCAACUACUUUCUGCUGCAUGUUUAAAAAGUGUUUGCAUUUAAUCGAAAUGAUGAAUUAUCAGUAAAAACCAAAAUCCUGAUGAACAAAUAUGCUAUUUUGUCGGUGUUUGUGUGCCAGAGGGACAAGAAUCCGACUUGAUA
Hippocampus comes (tiger tail seahorse) is the source of this 616-nucleotide long non-coding RNA. RefSeq lists it as uncharacterized. The record is from RefSeq and is a predicted model, not a curated record. The transcript is spliced from 3 exons. Lineage: Eukaryota; Metazoa; Chordata; Actinopteri; Syngnathiformes; Syngnathidae.